Molecule: ribosomal RNA, 293 nt
Filed under: uncultured bacterium
Lineage: Bacteria
Description: partial 16S ribosomal RNA
Rfam family: Bacterial small subunit ribosomal RNA
Source: RNAcentral
GGAUUAGAUACCCUGGUAGUCCACGCCGUAAACGAUGAGAACUAGAUGUCGGGAGGAUCUUCCUCUCGGUGUCGCAGCUAACGCGUUAAGUUCUCCGCCUGGGGAGUACGGUGGCAACACUAAAACUCAAAGGAAUUGACGGGGACCCGCACAAGCGGUGGAGCAUGUGGUUUAAUUCGAUGCAACGCGAAGAACCUUACCUGCCCUUGACAUUCUCGGAACUUACCAGAGAUGGUUUGGUGCCUUCGGGAACCGAUGAACAGGUGCUGCAUGGCUGUCGUCAGCUCGUGCCG